AGUCAGAACAGCACCAUAAAUAAAUGAAAAAAACUCUUUAUUACUUGAGAGCCAAAUAACUUCUACCAAAUCGAUAACAUCAGUGAACUGAUAGAUUAUCGAAUCACUAUGAGUUCGAUCUUGAUUGCAGUUAUCAGCCUGAAAUUACUCGCAAUUACUUCGGGUUCCAACGAUAUAGUGAGAGAAAAUUUACACGAUCUUGAAACUUUCUUCUGGGCAUCUACUAUUUACAACAUACCGAACAACUUCACGACGAUUGGCCGACUGUGUGCCGAGUACAGUCGCUUCUACUGCUUCGUCACUUACAAAACAGACCCUGCUGCACCCCAGAACCAAGUGUUUUUAGCUCAAAGCGAAGGCGUAAUUGACCCAUUCGUGAGACAUACUACCCGCAUUUUAGCUCAACUGGCUGAGAUGGAAUGCAAAAGCGUAAUGGAAGAAAUUUAUUUACAGCACAAUAUGUUCCCAGUCUAUUUACAACAAGGAAGCGAAUAUGACGAAUGUUGCGAUGUCCAAUGUAAAUUUAUUUUUAUGACAACCGCCGGCAUGAAUUCAUUAUUGCCGCCGAGGCUUUUUUUCUCGGUGAUAACCGAUUACGGAAACGAAGACAAAAAGUUGUCGUAUAUUGACGCUUUUUACAGUUCCGAAUGUGAUUUGAAUAUUAUCACAGCGGUCGGUUUUGGCCACGGUAAUCUCAACCGAGAAGCUCGUUGGUCUUUUGGAGCUUCGAAACCGGGGGUCGCUUACUUGUUUGUUUUUCAAGACGAAGAUCUGCAAAAUAGAAUGUUCACGUACCAAAGGAUCGAUGAACUCUUGACUUUUACUUGGUUUAAAAACAAUGUCAUCUGCAGAGCCCAACCUUGGGUAUGCGAAUAGUUUGAAGAUGAAUUCAGCCAGAAAACAAUGUUACUAACUAAAAUUAUAUUGAUCAAAAUGUUCUUUCUUGAACUGAAACUGUUCCCGAA
Molecule: long non-coding RNA, 965 nt
Organism: Symsagittifera roscoffensis
Lineage: Eukaryota; Metazoa; Xenacoelomorpha; Acoela; Convolutidae
Exons: 3
Source: RefSeq, a predicted model, not a curated record